This 3286-nucleotide long non-coding RNA is filed under the name Megachile rotundata (alfalfa leafcutting bee). RNAcentral's name for it is "uncharacterized LOC105664243, transcript variant X2". The record is from RNAcentral. Lineage: Eukaryota; Metazoa; Arthropoda; Insecta; Hymenoptera; Megachilidae.
CAUAAUUUAUUUAAUAUGUUUUAUUAGGUGAAGGGAAAAUAAUAUAUUCCAGAGGAAUUCUAAUUGCAAGCAGUAACGCUUGCGUGCCUUGGUAUCGAUUUACCGUCAGUUUCAUGUCAUAAAGACGUCAAACACACGAUUUUCAUCAGGACAACAUCUAUGGCUCGAAUUUACGGUCAACUCCGAGCAACAGGUCUCGAGUGGUUGAAUUAUCCCGCACAAACACGUGUACAUAAACGAUUCGUGCAAGAGGAACACGAAGUCUGGUUUCAUCGAUCUCCAGAACUAAAACACGCCCCUUUGUACUCACUCCUAGAUGAGACAUACCCCCUGGCAAUAACCUGUUGCGUUUGGUCGUAAAUCUACCCCGAGGCUGUAAUCCUGGUAGGCUUGUCUCGGAAUGACGUCAUUGACGAUCUUUUGAUGGACAAGUGACAUCCGUUCACGUUUCUCCAGGGAACCCUUUUAUCGAGACGAAUCAUCGAGACACGCGACUUUUUCCUGAGAAAAGUUUCCUUAUUUUUCAAAUAUCUGUGGUGGAGUAUAGCACCAACACACGAAGAGCAGGGUCGGUGAGAGAACCAUAAAUUCAUCUACUACCCGUCGUUGCUACCCUAGUAACUACGAACUUUCGUGACGUUACGCGAUGUUAGAUGACGAACCGUUCGACAUGUCGACAGCUCUCGUCUACUUGAUGUCCUUAAGGGACGUGACCAACAGAUUCUAUUGAAUAAAGAAAAAGCUAAGACCAGAAACGCGACGUAUCGAUCCGUCGACGUUGACGUCAACGUGGCGGGAAAGCCAUAAAUCCCUCAAACGUCUGCUGGUCCCCUGAUGCUAGGAAGCUACUUGUGCUACCGUGACAAACGGAUGACUGACACUUCCCUUCCUUUAAACUCCACGUCUUUCCAAUUAAAGUUAAAGAUACGUUCUCAACGAUAUAAAGUGGUAUGGUAGAAAUCACGAAUUAGUUAACAAUUCAAAACCGUAACUAAAUGGGUAAUUAUCUGUUUGAAUUACUUAUGUGCAAUUAAAUGUAAUAUUAAACAAUUGACAAAGAUUAUUAUGUAUAAUUAGAAUAGUAAACAUUCUGUUAGUAUGAAGAGCUCCUACGUUCAAUUUAUUCUAUACAUAUACAUUGUGUAAAGAAGGAAGUUGAGAAAGGUGUAUGAGAUAAGAGGGAAGAAGAAAUGACACAAUGCAAUGUUUGCAACUUGACUAUCCGAGCCCUCGUAUGCGGCCCUGAUACGUUGGCGUCCUUACGACGUAACAUGAUGAACAGAUGACGCUAAAUCAAUAUACGUCGUCGUCGAGCAAUUGUUAAACGUCGUUCGACCGAGGCUCCCGACUAAGAAGCUUUUACUUCCUACGCAACGAGCGAUAAACAUCUCUAGUGACGUAUACGUGUAAAUUGCAUACAUUUAAUCAUGAUAGACUAUUUUAAUUUUUAGAGUAUAAAACCGGAAACUUUGGAUUGAAGUUGAACUAAAUGUGAAUUUAAAUACAGAAUUACAACUUCUUUAUACAAUACUAAUGUAAGCACACCCUCCCUCCGAGGAAAAAGCAUUACCUACGUACUAUCCUAGAAGAGAAAAUUGAAUUUGGCUUCUUCCUCUCCUAGAAGAAACAAAAUUAAGAUUCCUUUUGCCAAACAAAUGUUAAUAGCUUUAAUACUCUGAAACGUUCGAAUACGAUAAAAAGAUAUUUGGAAGAAUAUAAGCGGCUACAAGAAGAUCGUGUCUAGCAUGCCUUGCGAGCUUCCAGGAACAGGCUAACAUCCACAAUCGAAGGAUUCAGUGAUCCUGGAAUGCACCAAAAUCUUAUUGCGCCCCGUUGCCACAGUGAUCGAUGAUGUUUGGGUUGAAUCGGAGGAAAAGGAAGUGGAUAGACGCAGAUGAACGUGGAGACGAUCGAAUGACGAGAGGCCGAGUACAAUUUUAAACGAGUCAAUAACAUCAAAAGCUUCGUAUACGCGGGUCACAUCAUCAUGUGGAGCUUCAUUUUACCAUAAACUCUACGACGUAGAUCGUAAUCGUUGUUAAAACUGUCACGUUUAACUAGCAAGUCACAAUGUCGUAGAAAAAAAUUAUCUGCGGGUAAAACUUCUAUAACACGAUACUAAUUUUCAGUGAAAUAUGUAAGAGAUCGAGAUGCAGUAGGCACAGUUUAUAACAAUCAGACAAAUUUUACUAGUCUUUACACCGCGUUAUAAUAGAGGCUAUUCAGCAUCUUUCUACUACAUGUAUAAUCAUGAAAUAUUAUCAGUGAAACAACGUCCGAUAUAUUUGUAUUGUCAAAUAUUGUCAAUGAGACCAUCGAUACCUUUGUGUCCCCUUUAUCCUCCACAAAAAUGUAUAAUAAUAAACUACAUAUAAGCCCAGCACAACCUUCGAUAAAGCAGUAUGUAUAAUUCUUUGCAAUUCUAGCGCAAUCAAGUCUCUAAGGAAAUUCGUUCGGUAGCCGCUCACAAUCACCACGUUACAUUCUCCGUAACAGGUGACUGCGUCGACGCUUGGCGUAUUUCUCGAACCAGGGGUGCACGUUAAACGUAGGGGUUGCUACCCACUUCUCGUGCAAUAUGGUGACUCGAAUGACGUAACAAAGCGCGCGUUUUACUAGGAGAACAUUCUUUAAUGAAGGAUACAACUACCCCUAACGAUCCUUGCUAGCAACCAACCAACCAUCUUACAAAACCUAACCUUUACGACAUUCCUACGUAAGUCGUGACAAACGACAAUAUCUUUGCAACUAACAAUUUCAUUCUACAGUAUACGUCAGUGAUUUAUUACUCUGUGUUAAAAUAUUCAAACUUUACGCAUCAAUAAAAUUAACGGGACAAACAUUAUAUAAAUACUACGUUACGUUCGUUUAAAUUUAUUGAGCGAUUUCAGAAACUGACCUAGCGAACAAGCUUAACCUUUGCGACGUCACGCUGCCUAACAUUUCUAUCCGGGAAUUAUAGGGUGCCAGUUAGUUUUGUGCAUAAUACGCUGGUUUAAACGAGGGUGGCAAUAUUGACACGCUUUUCGAACUGGACAAUGUCCCAAGAACAGGAGUUAAUACACAGGAGUACGUGAUCAAAGUAACGGCAUCGAUAAAGAUUAGUCAAAUAUAUAUGUAUACAUAAGUAUAAAACGAUGCGGUUAUCAUUGAUUAAUUUUAUUAACAGCGCCAAAUUUACUAGUUACGCUAAUGUAUAUUAUUCUGAGGUUAUUAGAUAAGGAUAAGUUAGAGCGAGCAAAAUUUUUUUAUUAACAGAAAAAUGUAUAAUUAAAUAAUAAAAGUU